Molecule: ribosomal RNA, 221 nt
Filed under: uncultured bacterium
Lineage: Bacteria
Description: partial 16S ribosomal RNA
Rfam family: Bacterial small subunit ribosomal RNA
Source: RNAcentral
UGGCGGACGGGUGAGUAACGCGUGAGAAUCUGCCUUUAGGACGGGACAACAGUUGGAAACGGCUGCUAAAACCCGAUGUGCCCUUCGGGGUGAAAUAUUUAUAGCCUGAAGAUGAGCUCGCGUCUGAUUAGCUAGUAGGUGCGGUAAUGGCGUACCUAGGCGACGAUCAGUAACUGGUCUGAGAGGAUGACCAGUCACACUGGGACUGAGACACGGCCCAG